UGCUGCAUGUAAGUGGGAUUACUAAUUGUUCCAUUGGUUUUGCUCUGGUGAGUUCUUCCCCAUAUACCUUUGAUGCUUUUGCCUCCAUACCUUGGAGCUGGUAUUUUUUUCAAGGUUUAUCAUGUUUUUGUGGUAGUGUGACUGGCUCAGAGUUUAUAAUCAUUUGUCUUCUUCAAUGAAUGUCUGUGCUAUGAUAUUCUGUAAGGCUAGGCACACACUAAGUUGGUUAAUGCUUUUGAGCUAGCUUGUUGGGAGAUAAUGAAACAAUAAUGUUUAUCUGCUCACAAUGCCUUAUAUUGAUUCUUCUGGAUAGGUAUUUUAAUCGUAAGAGAUGUCUCCAAAAAAGCAAAAACAACAAUUCACUGUUGAUUUACUUUUCUAUGAUUGCUCCCAUUAGAUUGUCCUUAAAUCAUGUGCAAAGCUGAAGUAUUGUUCGCUGACUAUCAACCUGACAGAUCAGAUGGGAUGAUGAUGCAGAGUGUUAAAAGGCCUAAUGGGUUAUCUCGUUGGUAGAUGAAGCUUGUUGGAUUGAUUUCAGGCCAUUGAAAAUAGAUGACACCAUGCCUCCCCCAGUUAAUGAACAUGUGUCGCUUCCAAGUAAUAAUAAAUUUUCUAUUCUCUUUGCUCUACUAAACUUUCUUUUCUUUUGCCAUUUUGGCUGGUAGUCUUUCAUAGAAUUUUGUGAUAUCUACUUGACUCCACAAGGUCAUGCAACAUUAAGAAUUGCCGGGUUUGAAAAACACAGGAUGGAAUUGUUAAUUCAUUAUCUCUGUCUGAAGCAAGACAUAUUUGGUACACUGUUGAAUAGAGUUGAUGUAUCAGCAUGAGUAACAUUGUGAUAUUCUAAGGGUUGGUGCUAAAAACCCACCUAGAAACUAUUGUUUUCCUAGCAACUAUGUGGUUCAUAUGUUAAUAUGAUUUUUUACUGGUAGGACAACCAGGAGGUAAUGCAAUAUCCUUAUUAGUUAUACUCAGGGAUGCAAAAUCUUCACCUGAUGAUUCCACCCCUUUUUACAUGACACUAGCUGCUACAUAGUAAAAAGAGUCUCACCGAUGCUCUUUAUGACACCAACUGACAGAUUAAUAAGUGCACUCAUAGAGAACAUAACAAGGUAUUUUAGGAAGUGCUUGGACUAGGUUCAAAUUUUUGACAGUUUUAGGCACGCUUUUUUUACAGUGUUGGUUUCAAUUUUUUUUCCGACACAGUUAGACUUUCUGAAAUACAUCGUUGAACUACAUAUGAAACAAUAGUGUUUAUUUGGUCACCAGCAAGAUGAUGAUGUGAAACGGAUGACUUUGCGUCUUUCAGAAUUUCUACCAUUAAAUAGUUUCCCAUAACAGAAUAUUUGCUAAUAUUGGUAGCUAAAAAUGAGAUACUUAUGCUUGUUGAUGCCUUCCCUUUUUGUAGUAACAUCCAUUUGUCCAGCAUAUGUAGAAUAUUAGAUUUUUUGGCUGUUUAUCGUAGUUCGUUCUCAAGGUUUGGAAAAUUCUUUAGCUAUAUUCCUUGUCUCAAGCGAGCAUGAGCAAUAUCUUCUUUAUGCCGCAUGCCGCCAAGUUUCUCUAUUUUAGAUGGUUGUGUAAAUUUUGCUUCUAAAAAGGGAUAUGUAUUUUAUUAAUCUGACUAUAAUUUGUGGUAGGUACAUACUGAAGGAUGUUCUGAGGCUAGCACCUGGUUUAGAAGUUUUACAAUUCACAACAAUACCUCAUAAUUUUGAUUUGAUGUCCAGAAUGUAAAUUGAAGAAUGAGCCUAUGAAUUGCAUUGUAUUUUGUAAUGUAUCCUUAUAUAUGGUGCUUGUGGCUGGUUUUUUUGCAAUUAUAAGUUUAUGUUUAUGGGUAUUAUAGAGUCCUUUCUUUUUCUACAAGGGGCAGUAGCCGUGUCAUUCGAUUCGAAGGACAAAGAGUUGAUCACAAAGGGGUAGCACUCAGGAUAUAUACACAAGAGUAUAGAACCAAAUUAUAUGAUGUAAUUGACCACUAUUUCUAUUAACUUCUCCUGUACAAAUGUUCACGAGUUCAUGUAUUAAGUACAUUUUAUUGUGUCACUUGUGUUUUCUCUUUUUUAAUGCAAGUUUACAGCUACUCGGAGUUCCUAAUUGCAGACUCAACUAUUUUGACCUACCGAUGAUCUAAUUUGUGGCAUUAUUACCUUCAAAAAAUAUUUGCAUUUAAUUUCCUUUAUGUAUAGGGGUAUAAGUUCUUACCAAAUGUACUCAAAUAUA
This 2220-nucleotide long non-coding RNA is filed under the name Triticum aestivum (bread wheat). RNAcentral's name for it is "long non-coding RNA (TAES_LNC019547)". Lineage: Eukaryota; Viridiplantae; Streptophyta; Magnoliopsida; Poales; Poaceae. The record is from RNAcentral.